CCCUUGUGGAGGAGGACGCCGAAGGUGGGGCUAAUGACUGGGGUGAAGUCGUAACAAGGUAGCCGUACCGGAAGGUGCGGCUGGAUCACCUCCUAACAGGGAGACAACAAAAUGUUUAAUAUUAUUAUUUUGUCACCUUAGGUCGAUCGGUAUCUCACGUUCUUAAUUCGUUAAGAAUUUCAUUUCCUAAGUUUUUCUAGGUCACACCCAUUAUUUUUCCUGGGCCAUUAGCUCAGGUGGUUAGAGCGCACCCCUGAUAAGGGUGAGGUCCCUGGUUCAAGUCCAGGAUGGCCCAUAUCUCUAUGUUGGGGGUAUAGCUCAGUUGGUAGAGCGCCUGCUUUGCAAGCAGGAUGUCAGCGGUUCGAGUCCGCUUACCUCCACUGAUUACCACCUCUUCCAUAACCGGUAGAAAGGAAAUGUUUUGAGUUGUGAUCAUUAUUCUGAACGAAUCUAGCUUCCUAAUGAAAUCAUUAAGAUGCUGGACUCAUUGAAUUAAUUUCAUUGUUUUCAGAGAACCUUGACAACUGCAUAGAUUAUUUUUAAAGACAAUAAGCAUCUUUAAUGAUGCAGAUUUAUUAUUUGUGCUAAUGCAUUAAUAACAAUUCUAUUAAGCUGAUGCUUCAAUUUUUGAAGUUAUUGGUCAAGCUACAAAGGGCUCACGGAGGAUA
This 668-nucleotide unclassified non-coding RNA is filed under the name uncultured Prochlorococcus sp. RNAcentral's name for it is "partial may contain 16S ribosomal RNA, 16S-23S ribosomal RNA intergenic spacer, and 23S ribosomal RNA". The stretch from base 1 to 96 matches the Rfam family "Bacterial small subunit ribosomal RNA", at positions 1438 to 1533 of the family's 1533-position model. Lineage: Bacteria; Bacillati; Cyanobacteriota; Cyanophyceae; Synechococcales; Prochlorococcaceae. The record is from RNAcentral.